This 502-nucleotide ribosomal RNA is filed under the name uncultured Sphingobacteriales bacterium. RNAcentral's name for it is "bacterial SSU rRNA". It matches the Rfam family "Bacterial small subunit ribosomal RNA", at positions 903 to 1382 of the family's 1533-position model. The record is from RNAcentral. Lineage: Bacteria; Pseudomonadati; Bacteroidota; Sphingobacteriia; Sphingobacteriales.
CCUUGCCAGCCCGCUCAGAAACUUAAAGGAAGUUGACGGGGCCCGGCACAGGCGGAGGAGCAUGUGGUUAAUUCGAUGAUACGCGAGGAACCUUACCUGGGCUCGAACGUAAGAUGACUGUAGGUGAAAGCUUACAUCUCUUCGGAGCAUUUUACGAGGUGCUGCAUGGUUGUCGUCAGCUCGUGCCGUGAGGUGUCGGGUUAAGUCCCAUAACGAGCGCAACCCCUACCUUUAGUUGCCAUCAGGUAAUGCUGGGGACUCUAAAGGAACUGCCUACGCAAGUAGUGAGGAAGGCGGGGAUGACGUCAAAUCAGCACGGCCCUUACGUCCAGGGCUACACACGUGCUACAAUGGCCGAUACAGAGGGCAGCUACCUGGUGACAGGAUGCAAAUCUCCAAAGUCGGUCUCAGUUCGGAUCGGAGUCUGCAACCCGACUCCGUGAAGUUGGAUUCGCUAGUAAUCGUGGAUCAGCAUGCCACGGUGAAUACGUUCCCGGGCCUU